UACUUCGUGCUGUCCAGCUGGUGGGCC
Molecule: non-coding RNA, 27 nt
Filed under: Callithrix jacchus (white-tufted-ear marmoset)
Lineage: Eukaryota; Metazoa; Chordata; Mammalia; Primates; Cebidae
Also listed under: 2 other names
Source: RNAcentral